GGAAUGUGGCUUAGUGGUAAAGCACUUAUUUGGCAUGCAUGAGGCCCUGGGUUCAGUCCCUAGCACCA
This 68-nucleotide transfer RNA is filed under the name Marmota monax (woodchuck). RNAcentral describes it as "tRNA.Ala". The stretch from base 5 to 65 matches the Rfam family "tRNA", at positions 6 to 65 of the family's 71-position model. Rfam says of the family: Transfer RNA (tRNA) molecules are approximately 80 nucleotides in length. Their secondary structure includes four short double-helical elements and three loops (D, anti-codon, and T loops). Lineage: Eukaryota; Metazoa; Chordata; Mammalia; Rodentia; Sciuridae. The record is from RNAcentral.